Dipodomys ordii (Ord's kangaroo rat) is the source of this 58-nucleotide non-coding RNA. The record is from Rfam. NCBI's taxonomy places the organism in Eukaryota, Metazoa, Chordata, Mammalia, Rodentia, Heteromyidae.
UGGCUCAGUGGUAGAGUGCUUGCCUUGCAUGCAUGAGGCCCUGGGUUCAAUUUCUCAG